Ziziphus jujuba (common jujube) is the source of this 2587-nucleotide long non-coding RNA. RefSeq lists it as uncharacterized. The transcript has 3 exons. The record is from RefSeq and is a predicted model, not a curated record. NCBI's taxonomy places the organism in Eukaryota, Viridiplantae, Streptophyta, Magnoliopsida, Rosales, Rhamnaceae.
CUACCAUGCCCUUCUCUUCUUUCCCUCGAAACUCUCUAAAGCAGAGUAACCAAACAUGGCGUUGAACACUUUUGGUGGUGGUGACGAUGAUGAUGCAGAAGAAACCUGCGGUUCUAUACCACUAUCCAUGCCCAGACGGAGCUUUUGCAGCUUUAGCAGCUCACCUCUUCUUCUCUGCUGCUUGUCUUCGGUGAUGUUCUUCGCCAACACCGUCUACAACCCCAUCGCUUCCAAUCAGCUCCUCUCGCCGAAAUCAGUGAUACUUACCUUCUAGACUUUUUGGAUCCGUCUGGGUUUGUUCAGGAAAUCUCUUCCAAGGUCAGCAGAGUGGUGGUCUCGGAUCACCACAGGACCGCAGUGGAGAGUAGUGAGAGUUCUUGUUCAGUUGGUGAGUAUGUGGAGAGGGUUAUUGAUAUCCAGAGUAAUGGAGCUACUAUUGCUUUUGAUUAUUUCGAGGAAAGAGCUGGUAGUGGACUAAAAGAUUUGAAUGUUGGUUCAACGUGUGUUUGAACUUUGAAUCCAUCUUUGUUCAAGCAGGACAUGAUUCUCUCGGUCAAUCAUAUGAGAUUGCUCUUGUGGGUGGAGCAUUUGGAGAUUGCCUGGCUGUGAAUGAUGGUUCUGUAUCGGAGUUGAGGAGUGAACUUGGACAUCAAUUAGCCAAGAAAAGCCGUAAUCUAAAGUUGAGGUAUGCAGCUAUCUACCUACAAAUAUGAUUGUCAAUGUUAUUUCUAACAUAUCUUUCUUUCUCUUUUUAACAUUCAUUGAUUAGAUUGUUCUGUUUUUUUAUGUUAUUAGUUGACUGCAAUUUAUCCCUAGAAAAGAAGUAGGCUUGGAGUGUACGUUAGUUUCAAUCUAGUCUAAAGUUGUUAUUUUGCUAGCUACACAAAUAGUUGUUGACUUGUUUUGGGCCUGAAGCAACUUAAGGACUUAAAUGAUAUAGAUGAGUACAAUAGAUUCACUCCUUUCAUUGGAGGAGAUUUCCUUUCUUGAAGAAUUUCUGUUCCUUUCUCCUUUGAAUGCAUUGGUCCUUUGAAUGCAUUGGUUAUUGGCACGCCAUGUUUAAGCUUUUACAUGCCAGUUUUCUUGUAGUUAUAAUUCCUAUGGAAAAGCAAUGUUGAGGACUCAAACUGGUAUGUUUGGCGUUAAUUGCUUAGAGCCAUUCUUUCUAGAGUUAUAAUGUGGUAGACUGUUCUUUUCCCCGGUGAUAUAUAUAUUCAUGCAACAGAUAAAUCAUACCUUAGUUCUUUCUGAUAAAUCGGAUAAGCCCCCUUGUCAGAGUAAAUAACAGUCAGUCACUUGUACAUUGGAGAUCACUUCAACUCUACAAUGAUGUGGUUCAGAUAAUACACCUAAUCUUUUCCUUGGUCAAGGAUUUAAUGCCAAUACUUCCUUAGAUUUGUGUGCCUACUUUCUUUUGAUUAUCCUUGAAGUGUCACAACUAAAAAUGCCUCCAGUAACUAAAAGUGCCUUUAGUGUCACAACUAAAGCACUGUAGGGGGUUGCGGAAUGAUAUAAGAAUAGCUGCCAACCAAAGGAAGUCUUAUGAACAAGCCACUAAAGAAGUGAAUUGAAUAGCUCUUAUGAAAGCUCCAAUUUUUAACUAUUACAUUGUCAGAACGUCCCGUGUAGAAGAAUUCAAGCAUAGUCUCACCAUUAAAGGAUACAGAAGAAUUCUAGCAUAGUCUCAUCAUUGAAGGAUAUUGACCACGCUUUCAUCUUACAAUAUAGAGUUUAAAAGAGCAAUGGCUGACCUGGUGAAGACCCAGAUGGUGAUCAUUGAGGAUUUAUUCAUGGGUCAACCAUGAGGCCGUUGACCAUUUUUGCUUGUUGAUGCCUGAUGGCACUUGCUUGGUAUUGAAUUGUAGUUAAUUGACUAGAACAAAUUGCUAGAGAAGCCUUGCAGUUUGUCUUGGUCAUUUCCUGUUCUAAGCAUCUUUUUUUUUUUUUUUUUUUUGUAAUUAAAGCUGAAAAGGGUGUGUUAUAAUAACCAAAAAGAGAGGCAAGCAUACAAAUACAGAGUCAUGUUGCCAAGGAAUCAGUUUGUGGGGCAGAAGUCUCCACGGUCCUGAUCCUUAAUAUUGCUGAAAUCGUUGGAGCUUAACAAAAAAGUGAUCAGACCACUAUUUACAUUAGAUAAACCCCAUCUGGAUGUGAGAUGUGCCAACCGGUUGAGAUUCCUUGGGGUCCAAGCAAAGGAAAUAGUCUGAGUCAUAGUGCAAAAAUCCAAAUAGUCUGAAACCGGUUGAGAUUCCUUAAGUGUCUUGUUUUGUAUCUAUUUAAUUUGCUUCAUAUGCAGAGUUAGGUCCGCUUUCUAUCUAAUAGCUUAAAAGUUUGUCAAAUUAAUGGCAAGGCUACCUUAGUCUAAAACCAGAAUGGCCACUAACAACAAUGUUAGACCAGAGAGUUGAUAGAGAGUGGGAUGAAAAAAAGAUAAUGCAAAGGCUAAUUAAUUAUGGGAUGGCUAUGCUUUGAAUAACAAUGAUGAUGAAUUUUAAAUAAUAUGUGCGAAAAUUGAAUGGAAAUUUAGCAGAGGAGCACUAUGAUAUGCAAUUUCCUUUGUUAAUUUAUUUCUCUUUUAUAUGGUUUC